This 714-nucleotide long non-coding RNA is filed under the name Homo sapiens (human). RNAcentral describes it as "HSALNT0212212". The record is from RNAcentral. Lineage: Eukaryota; Metazoa; Chordata; Mammalia; Primates; Hominidae.
GCGGGAUUUUAUGCUGAUCACAAACAAAUCCUUGAAAGAAGAAGAUGGAGAAGAAAUAGUUACCUAUGAUCAUUUGUGUAAGAAUUGUCAUCAUGUAAUAGCCAGACAUGAGUAUACAUUCAGUAUCAUGGAUGAAUUUCAGGACAAAAUCAAAGGGACCCUUAGGAGGAGAGUGUGUCAUUUUCUAGGGGAAAAAAGAAGUUUUCAGUGCCUCAGCUCUUGCCAGGCUGAAGAGACAAAGUUGUGUUUAUCUUGAAAAGUCUUUCAGUGCGUGGUGCCACUUGUCCUGGAGAACACACCAGCCUCUGCCCCUGCACUGUACCAUCUCCUAUAUUAUAUCCCCCACCUCCACCUCAUCCCCCAGCCCCCAAGUCAUGAGGCUCAGUCGUUGCUGGGAGAAUGGUGAAGAGGAGUCACAGAACAGGUGGAUAAACUUAGUGGAUGAACUGCACCUACCUUCCUCUCAGACAGAGAUUUGGUCCCCAAGACUUUUCAGAGCGGGUUUGUGCUGGUCACCUUCCCACAGAAGGAAGUGUGUGGAGGAAGUUGAAGCUGCUGUGGUUCCAGACGCAGGCAGGUCACCCCUGAUGCUUUCAACAAGAGGCGUGCAGUGCAUCGCAGGACAUCUGCUAAGGGCCAUCUCAGAGGCCCACCCCUGGAAGCCACAGAAACCGAAAAGACCCAAGCACCCGCCAACUCAACAAGUUACUCUUU